Molecule: long non-coding RNA, 981 nt
Filed under: Durio zibethinus
Lineage: Eukaryota; Viridiplantae; Streptophyta; Magnoliopsida; Malvales; Malvaceae
Description: long non-coding RNA (DZIB_LNC000279)
Source: RNAcentral
UUAAAAAUUGAUAUUUAUUCAUUAAUAAGAUGAUAUUAUUUGAUUUAUUGAUGGUAUAUAAAGUUUAUACAUUAUGUGUUUCAAAUAUAAAUUUAUAAAUUUUUAUAAGACUUUAAAAUAAAUAUACAAAAAUUUAAUUUUUUAAACUUUUUCAUUAAUAAUGUAGCAUCAUAUGAUUAAUUGAUGAUAUUAAAAUUUAUAAUCUAUUAGUGUAUCAAAUAUAAGUUUUAAGUUGCCCCCCCCCCCAAAAAAAAAGAAGAGAAAUAUUUGAAAUCAAAAUUAAAUUGCAAUUUUUUAAAAUUUCUAAUUAAGUUCCAAAGAUACGUAAAAUAAAGCAUGGUUACAUCUACAUCUAACUGCCUACUGGGCAAGCUUCAACUUCAAAGUCACCUGAUUUGGCACCAGCCAAAGGAGUAGGAGCAGCAGCUGGGGAACCACCAUAACCAUCCAUGGGAGUCAGAAUAGCAGCAGAAGUCGUAGUAGGAGCAUGGACACUGGGAAAAGAUUCAAUCGAUCCAGCUCUUGUAACAAAGCAGUAGGCAAGCCUUAGUGGGGACCAUCCAUACCUCUAAGCCCGAGCCUGUUCAUGACUAGGCUAAUAAAAAAAAGUCUCAAGCAGGGAAACGCGGGAUGGAAGGCGGAAAAGGCUUGGCUUUGUUUCACAGAACUAAGGAAAUUUCGUUUCCGUAGUGGUGAUGCUGAGCUUUCUCAUCGAAGAAGAAAAGCGGGCUCUGUAUGCCUGGUGGAAUGGAAAGCUUUGAAUGGUCUUGAAAAAGUCUUUGAAAGCUCAACACUCGAGAAGUUGCUUCGCACCUCAUGUGGCAAUGAGGUAGCGUAAGAUUUUCAGUAAAAUGAGAAACUGAUACAAUGUUACCCUUCCCAACAGCCUAUGUUUGUCUGAAUCAAAGCCUACCCUGCCUUGUCUUGAAAGAAAGAACUGCCUCGGACUCAACCCAAGUAGAAGAUUUGUUAAUCCUAACU